This 249-nucleotide ribosomal RNA is filed under the name uncultured Anaerolineae bacterium. Its description in RNAcentral is "partial 16S ribosomal RNA". It matches the Rfam family "Bacterial small subunit ribosomal RNA", at positions 355 to 620 of the family's 1533-position model. The record is from RNAcentral. Lineage: Bacteria; Bacillati; Chloroflexota; Anaerolineae.
UGAGGGAUAUUGCACAAUGGGCGCAAGCCUGAUGCAGCGACGCCGCGUGAGUGAUGAAGGCCUUCGGGUCGUAAAACUCUUUUGCCGAUGACGAGGAAGGACGGUAGUCGGCGAAUAAGCCUCGGCUAACUACGUGCCAGCAGCCGCGGUAAAACGUAGGAGGCGAGCGUUAUCCGGAGUUACUGGGCGUAAAGCGUGCGCAGGCGGUUCUGUAAGUGGCUUGUGAAAGCGGCCGGCUAAACCGGGGGG